CAGCUAGUUGGUGAGGUAAUGGCUCACCAAGGCUACGACGGGUAGCUGGUCUGAGAGGAUGACCAGCCACAUUGGGACUGAGAAACGGCCCAGACUCCUACGGGAGGCAGCAGUGGGGAAUCUUGCGCAAUGGCCUAACGGCUGACGCAGCGACGCCGCGUGAGGGAUGACGCUCUUCGGAGUGUAAACCUCUUUUGCCCGGAACGAAUUGCCACCAUCAGGUGGCUUGACGGUACCGGUUGAAUAAGCACCGGCUAACUCCGUGCCAGCAGCCGCGGUAAUACGGGGGGUGCGAGCGUUGUCCGGAAUCACUGGGCGUAAAGGGCGCGUAGGUGGCGUGAUAAGGGUGUGGUGAAAGCCCGGGGCUCAACCCCGGGUCUGCCAUGCCGACUGUCAGGCUCGAGUACUGUAGGGGCAGGCGGAAUUCCGGGUGUAGCGGUGGAAUGCGUAGAGAUCCGGAGGAAGACCGGUGGCGAAGGCGGCCUGCUGGGCAGUUACUGACACUGAGUGCGCGACAGCGUGGGGAGCAAACAGGAUUAGAUACCCUGGUAGUCCACGCCGUAAACGAUGGGU
This 573-nucleotide ribosomal RNA is filed under the name uncultured bacterium. RNAcentral's name for it is "SSU rRNA". It matches the Rfam family "Bacterial small subunit ribosomal RNA", at positions 242 to 814 of the family's 1533-position model. The record is from RNAcentral.